AGAAACUGGUCAUCUUCCAUCCGCACACUUGUGGGCAUGCCUGAAACCAUUAUGGCACUCCAAUUAGGAAGCUGUAAAACAGAGAAACGAGAUGGUAAAAUAUGUUCUUGGAUAAUAUUUUUCCACGUUCAUAAUCCAAACUAACUAGCACAACAUCAUUCUCAAGUUAGUCAUUCAAAAGCAAUAAGAUAGCACAUUAUUACACGGUUCCAUUCCCAUAACAUGUAUUAUAUUCCCAGAGGCGGGCAACUUACCUCUCGUGGGUGGGAUAAUACUCGCCUCCGUGUCCUUUAUAAAAUCAUGACUUUACGUCAUGAAAUUAGUAAAAUCUGGUAAUUUUAUUAAAGGACACGGAGGCUCCUAUUAUGCUAGUUCAAAGCUGUGUGAUCACCGACGUGGA
This is a non-coding RNA of Pelobates cultripes (western spadefoot toad), 400 nucleotides long. The record is from the annotation of a GenBank genome assembly. NCBI's taxonomy places the organism in Eukaryota, Metazoa, Chordata, Amphibia, Anura, Pelobatidae.